CCUACGGGGGGCAGCAGUGGGGAAUAUUGGGCAAUGGACGCAAGUCUGACCCAGCAACGCCGCGUGAAGGAAGAAGGCUUUCGGGUUGUAAACUUCUUUUAAGGGGGAAGAGCAGAAGACGGUACCCCUUGAAUAAGCCACGGCUAACUACGUGCCAGCAGCCGCGGUAAUGCGUAGGUGGCAAGCGUUGUGCGGAUUUACUGGGUGUAAAGGGCGUGCAGCCGGAGGGACAAGUCAGAUGUGAAAGCCACGGGCUCAACCCGUGAACUGCAUUUGAAACUGUUUCCCUUGAGUGUCGGAGAGGUAAUCGGAAUUCCUUGUGUAGCGGUGAAAUGCGUAGAUAUAAGGAAGAACACCAGUGGCGAAGGCGGAUUACUGGACGAUAACUGACGGUGAGGCGCGAAAGCGUGGGGAGCAAACAGGAUUAGAUACCCCAGUAGUC
RNAcentral lists this ribosomal RNA (442 nucleotides) under uncultured bacterium. Its description in RNAcentral is "partial 16S ribosomal RNA". It matches the Rfam family "Bacterial small subunit ribosomal RNA", at positions 338 to 795 of the family's 1533-position model. The record is from RNAcentral.